This 275-nucleotide ribosomal RNA is filed under the name uncultured bacterium. RNAcentral's name for it is "partial 16S ribosomal RNA". It matches the Rfam family "Bacterial small subunit ribosomal RNA", at positions 399 to 691 of the family's 1533-position model. The record is from RNAcentral.
GCGUGAGUGAUGAAGGCCUUCGGGUUGUAAAGCUCUUUUGGCGGGGACGAUGAUGACGGUACCCGCAGAAUAAGCUCCGGCUAACUUCGUGCCAGCAGCCGCGGUAAUACGAAGGGAGCUAGCGUUGUUCGGAAUUACUGGGCGUAAAGGGCGCGUAGGCGGCGCCAGUAGUCAGGCGUGAAAGCCCCGGGCUUAACCUGGGAAAUGCGCUUGAUACUCUGGUGCUUGAGUGUGGGAGAGGUUGGUGGAAUUCCCAGUGUAGAGGUGAAAUUCGU